ACAAGUUCGGCGACGAGAGCGGCGACAACGACGUGACCCGCGGCCGCCAGUAAGCGACCGCGAGCGCCGUUUUUUUGGGCGAAUCGUUCGCGAAUCGUGAAUAAUUUGCGGAUAAUUAUUUUUGCAAAAGAAAACACGAUUUUUUUCGAUUUUUUCGGAAAAAUACGAAAACGGCCGUUUUAAACGUAUCUUCAAAAAUUCGCGAAUAAUUCGCGAAUUAUUCGCGAAUUUACUAACAGAGGGAUAAACUUCAAAUACCACCCCCGUUGUUUCGCACUUUCUUAUUUUAGUAUUAUGUGGUUUAAAGUGUAUCAAGUUAGUGUCCUGUGGUUUUAUUUUUAUCUUUUUGUCAACUUUUUUAUUAAUAUUUCGUUAAAUUAUAGACAAAAAACUUUAGAUACUCCACUUAAGUUUAUCGAAUAUUUAUUUUAAUAUCUUUUAGUUUUAACUUUGUUACUGAUUUACCGAAAAAAAUUAGUGAAAUCGAUAAUAAAAAAAUAAAAAUGAAUUCACAUGACACUAACUUAAUACACUUUAAACCUUUGAGUACUAAAAUGAGAAAGUAUGAAACCACAGAAAUGGCAUUUGAAGUUUUUCCUUUAUUAUAAUUUGGACUUAAACAUUCAAGUUAUUAUUACAAUUAAGUCCCACCAUGCAAUUUAUUUGAGUAUUAAAUGAUAAUGUAUCGUUAAUGUAGUAUCAAUAUUUCUUACUAUGACGAAUUGACGAUCUAUUACGUAGGAACAACUAAAAAAUUAUAUUGUUGUCACAUUAAUAAUAUAUUAUUAUUUAGUAAGUAAAAUUGCAUAAUAAAACUUGAUUGUAAUAAUAUAAAAAAUUGGGCUAAAAACGUAAUAAAUUAAAGUGGGAUGACUAGGGGUGGUCAUCCAACUCGUUAUUCGCGAGCCGGUUCGUAUUUGGUUUGAAAUGAGCUUGAGAUCGAAUCGCUCGUUUAAUAAACGAGUCGAACAUGAGCUUAAUUUUUCAACUCGUUUGUGUUCCACUGGAUAAUAACUCGAAUACAUAUAUUUUCUAUUUAUAUAUAUUAAUAUAUAAUUAUAUAUAUAAUACAGAUUUUUAUUAUUUAUUUUUUAGCCGAACCUAAAUAUAAAAUCCAAUUCAAUUUAAAAAAAGUCCAUUUAUAUAUAAAGUUUGAACCGUGAGAUUAAAGUCUAAUGGGUAAGAUCUCGAAAACUUAAAUCCUAUAUAUAUUCUUUCUAAUUUUUUAAUUUAUUGUUCGUGUUCAGCUUGCUAAUAAACGAGCAAAAUAUGAGCUUAAUUUUUCAACUCGAUACCGACCGUCCCUAGAGCAAGUGGCAAAAGGCUUGAUGGUUGAUAUCCGAGAUCCAAGUUCGAAUCCUAGUUGAUUCACAUUUCCAGCUAAGUUUAUUUUUAGAUGAAAUAAACAAAGCGGGUAGCGUGCUAUCUAUCUCUCAAAAAAAAAAAAAAAAAUUUCAACUCGAUAUUUUAAUCAGCCAGCUCGAGAUCGGCUCGUUUAUA
This 1500-nucleotide long non-coding RNA is filed under the name Ananas comosus (pineapple). RNAcentral describes it as "long non-coding RNA (ACOM_LNC021920)". The record is from RNAcentral. Lineage: Eukaryota; Viridiplantae; Streptophyta; Magnoliopsida; Poales; Bromeliaceae.